UGGGGCGGUAGCUCAAUUGGCAGAGCAGCAGGUUGUCACCCUGGCUGGUGCGGGUUCGAAUCCCGUCCGCUCCAU
RNAcentral lists this transfer RNA (75 nucleotides) under Tepidimonas charontis. RNAcentral describes it as "Tepidimonas sp. SPSP-6 tRNA-Asp". It matches the Rfam family "tRNA". Rfam says of the family: Transfer RNA (tRNA) molecules are approximately 80 nucleotides in length. Their secondary structure includes four short double-helical elements and three loops (D, anti-codon, and T loops). The record is from RNAcentral. Lineage: Bacteria; Pseudomonadati; Pseudomonadota; Betaproteobacteria; Burkholderiales.